This 251-nucleotide ribosomal RNA is filed under the name uncultured prokaryote. Its description in RNAcentral is "partial 16S rRNA". It matches the Rfam family "Bacterial small subunit ribosomal RNA", at positions 525 to 775 of the family's 1533-position model. The record is from RNAcentral.
ACGGGGGGUUCCCGCGGGGUUCGGAAUGAAGGGGCGUAAAGAGCGUGUAGGCGGCUGAAUAAGUCAGAUGUGAAAUCCCCGGGCUUAACCUUGGAAGUGCAUUUGAAACUAUUCAGCUGGAGUAAGGGAGAGGAAAGUGGAAUUCCUGGUGUAGAGGUGAAAUUCGUAGAUAUCAGGAGGAACACCGGCGGCGAAGGCGACUUUCUGGCCCUAUACUGACUCUGAGACGCGAGAGCGUGGGUAGCAAACAG